RNAcentral lists this ribosomal RNA (292 nucleotides) under uncultured bacterium. Its description in RNAcentral is "partial 16S ribosomal RNA". It matches the Rfam family "Bacterial small subunit ribosomal RNA", at positions 505 to 796 of the family's 1533-position model. The record is from RNAcentral.
GUGCCAGCAGCCGCGGUAAUACGAAGGGUGCAAGCGUUACUCGGAAUCACUGGGCGUAAAGCGUGCGUAGGCGGUUGGUUAAGUCUGCUGUGAAAGCCCUGGGCUCAACCUGGGAACUGCAGUGGAUACUGGCCAGCUAGAGUGUGAUAGAGGAUGGUGGAAUUCCCGGUGUAGCGGUGAAAUGCGUAGAGAUCGGGAGGAACACCAGUGGCGAAGGCGGCCAUCUGGAUCAACACUGACGCUGAGGCACGAAAGCGUGGGGAGCAAACAGGAUUAGAUACCCGCGUAGUCC